UACGUAGGCAGCAAGCGUUGUUCGGAGUUACUGGGCGUAAAAAGUGCGUAGGCGGUCCUGUAAGUUUGGUGUGAAAUCUCCCGGCUCAACUGGGAGGGUGCGCCGAAGACUGCAGGGCUUGAGUAUGGGAGAGGUAAGCGGAAUUCCUGGUGUAGCGGUGAAAUGCGUAGAUAUCAGGAGGAACGCCGGAGGCGAAAGCGAGUGACUGGCGCGUUCCUGACGCUGAGGUGCGAAAGCUAGGGGAGCAAACAGG
RNAcentral lists this ribosomal RNA (253 nucleotides) under uncultured bacterium. RNAcentral describes it as "partial 16S ribosomal RNA". It matches the Rfam family "Bacterial small subunit ribosomal RNA", at positions 524 to 776 of the family's 1533-position model. The record is from RNAcentral.